AGGAGUAGCUUUCUGCAAAGCAGUAUUGCCUCCUAACAGCAGUGUAUAUUCACAAAAGAAAUGCACUGCUAGAAUUUUCGCCUGCUCACCUCCCCCUAAAAGAGGAACUGCAGCAUUGCAGAACCUCUAACUACCGGUUCUUCUAAGAUCCUGAAUGGCAAGUUCCUGUCUUGGGCAGCAAAGAGCCUCAGGACUAACAGAGCCUGAAUUAUAGCAUUGGCUGAACCAGGCAAACUCAAGUUUUGGUUUCUAGAGCCUCAAGGGCCUAAAGGACAAAACACAAAAUUGAAGGCCUGUCCAAGAUGGGAAGUCUAAUUACAGUCUUCCUUU
Long non-coding RNA from Cebus imitator (Panamanian white-faced capuchin), 330 nucleotides. RefSeq lists it as uncharacterized. The record is from RefSeq and is a predicted model, not a curated record. The transcript is spliced from 3 exons. NCBI's taxonomy places the organism in Eukaryota, Metazoa, Chordata, Mammalia, Primates, Cebidae.